AAUAAGUACAGCCGUAGAUAUCCGUGUCCAAUAUUUGACCGUCCGUCUUAUUUAAAAAAUUUGUGAAAAAUUUGAAAAUAUUUAGCAAUAAAAAUACUAAUCAUAAAAAAAUUCAAAUAAGACGAAUGAUCAAAUAUUGAACGUGAAUAGUGUAAAACUGUAUUUAUU
This 168-nucleotide microRNA precursor is filed under the name Oryza sativa Japonica Group (Japanese rice). RNAcentral's name for it is "MIR812 microRNA precursor family". It matches the Rfam family "MIR812 microRNA precursor family". Lineage: Eukaryota; Viridiplantae; Streptophyta; Magnoliopsida; Poales; Poaceae. The record is from Rfam by way of RNAcentral.